Molecule: transfer RNA, 65 nt
Filed under: Chiton albolineatus
Lineage: Eukaryota; Metazoa; Mollusca; Polyplacophora; Chitonida; Chitonidae
Description: tRNA-Val
Source: RNAcentral
UAAAACAUAGCAUAUUUAAUGUACUUUAUUUACACUAAAGAGAAGGUAAUUAUUACUUGUUUUAA